Molecule: ribosomal RNA, 433 nt
Filed under: uncultured bacterium
Lineage: Bacteria
Description: partial 16S ribosomal RNA
Rfam family: Bacterial small subunit ribosomal RNA
Source: RNAcentral
AACGAACGCUGGCGGCAUGCCUAACACAUGCAAGUCGAACGAGACCUUCGGGUCUAGUGGCGCACGGGUGCGUAACGCGUGGGAACCUGCCCUUAGGUUCGGAAUAACUCCUCGAAAGGGGUGCUAAUACCGGAUAAUGUCUUCGGACCAAAGAUUUAUCGCCUUUGGAUGGGCCCGCGUUGGAUUAGCUAGUUGGUAGGGUAAAAGCCUACCAAGGCGACGAUCCAUAGUUGGUCUGAGAGGAUGAUCAGCCACACUGGGACUGAGACACGGUCCAGACUCCUACGGGAGGCAGCAGUGGGGAAUAUUGGACAAUGGGCGAAAGCCUGAUCCAGCAAUGCCGCGUGAGUGAUGAAGGCCUUAGGGUUGUAAAGCUCUUUUACCCGGGAUGAUAAUGACAGUACCGGGAGAAUAAGCUCCGGCUAACUCCGUG